Molecule: long non-coding RNA, 2138 nt
Organism: Chenopodium quinoa (quinoa)
Lineage: Eukaryota; Viridiplantae; Streptophyta; Magnoliopsida; Caryophyllales; Amaranthaceae
Exons: 3
Source: RefSeq, a predicted model, not a curated record
UACGGUUAAGACAAAAAAUAGUAGCAUAAAAUAGCAAAAGGCUACUUUUUUUUGAAAAAACCGUAGUAAAUAAUGCAAAAACGCUACAAUUUUUUAAAAAAGCCGUAGCAAAAAACUUAAAAUUGCUACAGUUUUGAACCGUAGCAAAUAGUUUUUCUUAUUCGCUACGCCCACUAGUUCUACGGUUCAAAAUUGUAGCAAAUACUCCUAAAAAACCCGUAGCAAAUGUCAUUUUUUUCUACUAGUGUAUGAAUUUGUUUUUCUUAAAUUGUGAAAGUGUUAAGUGUUAGUUGUUAGUUGUGUCAUUGAUUGAAUAAUUAGUUGUGGCAUUGAUUGAUUAAAUAUUUUGCUUUCUACUUGGGGCUACUCCUCAAUAUGUCAUUCACUUUGUGAGGUUUUGUAGUAACAUUCUGCCAGUCACUUGGACAUGAUAGUGCUAGACAUGGGUUUUUGUGGUAAUGUCAAGUUGUUAGUGUUGUGUAUGUGAAUAAAGUUGCCGUUUUAAGAGUGAAUAAUUUAUAAGUAGUAUGUGAAAAGUUAAGGGUAGGUUGAAAUGAAUGUAUGUAGUUGAAAAAUUCGAUUUAUGUUGGGUAGAUUUGAACUUUCCAGGAGGAAAUAAUGCCGAGGAAGAAGAAGGGAUUAGAGUUGGUGAGUUUUUGUUGGUGGAAACUAAAAACAUAUGUGUUUGUUUAGUGAUGGUUGUCUGGUGUAGUUCAUUUAUUUUGUUAAAUUGUUGUGUUUGUUUAGGCGAGGUCGAAACCCAUAAUGAGUAGGGUGAAAGAGGCGCCUAAAAAGAAAGUUGUCAAUACUGGCAAGAAGAAACUUAAAUUUGAUCUUGUUUUUGGGGAAGAAAAAUUACAUGAUUCUGCGGAUGCUGCUUCCGAUGAUGCUUUUCGGAUGAUUCUGGUCCUGAUGAUGGUGAAUCUGAAGAUGAUGAUUAUGAAGUAGAUGAGGAUGUGGAAGAAGAUGAAGCUAGUGAGGAAGCACCUGAACCAACAACAGAGUGGUAUCAAGAUCACCUCAUCAAGUUACUGCAGGAAAAAAAGUAGGAAAUGGAAAGUGCAAGUGAGGUGCUGUUGAGAAACACACAGGGAAGAGGGCCAAGCUAAAGGUCGGCAAGACCAAGGGAGAAGAGGUGAAGCAGAAAGGGGUUGUCGUUAAAACCCAAUCAAGAAAUACACAGAAAGUACUCUGUCAACCUUUAUUAUGGGGGGAUUUGGCAGGGCAAUGUUUGCACCUAAUUUGCAUGGUGUGAAGGCUUUCGCUAGUGUGGUGCAUAAGUUUGAUGAUUCUAGGAAGAAGGUGGUGACAGAAAUGGGGUUUGGAGGGUUGUUAAGUGUACCUCUAACGUUUCUACCCCGGGAAUUUUCAUACUGACUGUUGACGAGGGUAAUGGGAGAUGGUUCGAUAACUUUCGGAGAUGAGUAUGUGUUGCCUUUGAGUCCUGUUCAGGUCGAGUGUGUACUUGGGAUUCCCAUGGGGUCGAAGGCAGAGCCUUCUACGAAUCCUGAAUCUAAGGUGGAGCAAAGGAGAAUACUGGAAUUGUAUGGGAAGGGGGAUGGGAAGGGUGACAACAUUUCAUUAGCAAAUGCUUUGGGUGCACUGAUUCGAACGAACGAAGAAGGCAAUGUGUUGCCGCUGUUGGAGGAGGAGAAGGCAAAUUUCAAGGUAGCCUUCCUCAUAGUAGCUUUGGGUUACAUACUGUGUGCUACGACAAGUACAAGCUAUCUUAGAGUGAAGCUUAUACUGGCGUUAUUGGUGUAUGACGAAACGAAGGAGUACGACUGGUGCACAUUUGUUUUUAACUAGAUGGUUGUUGCAGCAAGGAAUUUUUUUAAAAAAAAUUUGCUCGUGACGGAUAUGUUGCUGGAUCUUGUGGUUGCAUCCUUUUUGUGUUGGUAAAUUUAAUUGGGCAUGUAUUAAAAAUGUAUGUUGAGUAAUUUGAAUAUAUUUUGCAUAUCGUUCAUCUGGUAAUUUGUAUCAAUGCUGCUGUACAUAAUGUGAUGAUUUUUUAUCUCGAUCACCUUGGUCGCGUCCCAAUGAGUUGGGGGUUGAGACCUAGGUUGAUGGCUUGGUCCCAAGAUAAAAUCAACGAAGCUGUUGUAGAUGAUAAGAAAGAUUCCGGUGACUUUGGAAAG